This 233-nucleotide ribosomal RNA is filed under the name uncultured bacterium. RNAcentral's name for it is "partial 16S ribosomal RNA". It matches the Rfam family "Bacterial small subunit ribosomal RNA", at positions 103 to 334 of the family's 1533-position model. The record is from RNAcentral.
CGGGUGAGUAACGCGUGAGGAACCUGCCUCAAAGAGGGGGACAACAGUUGGAAACGACUGCUAAUACCGCAUAAGCCCACGGCUCGGCAUCGAGCAGAGGGAAAAGGAGCAAUCCGCUUUGAGAUGGCCUCGCGUCCGAUUAGCUAGUUGGUGAGGUAAUGGCCCACCAAGGCGACGAUCGGUAGCCGACCUGAGAGGGUGACCGGCCACAUUGGGACUGAGACACGGCCCAA